CUCAUAUUUCUUUAGUAUAACUAAUACCAAUGACUUCCAAUCAUUUUAUCUUGGUUAAACUCCAAGAAGAAAUA
RNAcentral lists this transfer RNA (74 nucleotides) under Anomaloglossus baeobatrachus. RNAcentral's name for it is "tRNA-Gly". It matches the Rfam family "tRNA". From Rfam's summary of the family: Transfer RNA (tRNA) molecules are approximately 80 nucleotides in length. Their secondary structure includes four short double-helical elements and three loops (D, anti-codon, and T loops). The record is from RNAcentral. Lineage: Eukaryota; Metazoa; Chordata; Amphibia; Anura; Aromobatidae.